CCUACGGGUGGCAGCAGUGAGGAAUAUUGGUCAAUGGCCGUAAGGCUGAACCAGCCAAGUCGCGUGAAGGAAGAAGGAUCUAUGGUUUGUAAACUUCUUUUAUAGGGGAAUAAAGGUAUCCACGUGUGGAUAUUUGCAUGUACCCUAUGAAUAAGCAUCGGCUAACUCCGUGCCAGCAGCCGCGGUAAUACGGAGGAUGCGAGCGUUAUCCGGAUUUAUUGGGUUUAAAGGGUGCGUAGGUUGUUUUUUAAGUCAGCGGGUAAAGUUUGUGGCUCAACCAUAAAAUUGCCGUUGAAACUGGAAGACUUGAGGGUGUUGGAGGUAAGCGGAAGGCGUGGGGUAGCGGUGCAAUGUAUAGAUAUCAAGCAGAACUCAGAUUGCGAAGGCAGCUGAAUAAGCCAUAACUGACACUGAAGUACGAAAGCGUGGGGAUCAAACAGGAUUAGAUACCCUUGUAGUC
This 460-nucleotide ribosomal RNA is filed under the name uncultured bacterium. RNAcentral describes it as "partial 16S ribosomal RNA". It matches the Rfam family "Bacterial small subunit ribosomal RNA", at positions 338 to 795 of the family's 1533-position model. The record is from RNAcentral.